Long non-coding RNA from Solanum verrucosum, 318 nucleotides. RefSeq lists it as uncharacterized. The record is from RefSeq and is a predicted model, not a curated record. The transcript has 3 exons. Lineage: Eukaryota; Viridiplantae; Streptophyta; Magnoliopsida; Solanales; Solanaceae.
GGGUUCACCUCAGUAGAAGAACACUGCAGCAGCGGCAGAGGCUUUUGGUGCAUUCAGAAGCCUCUCUUUAUAUUCAUGAGCCUUAUCAGACUUGAGACUAUUUGGGUCAGAGGUUUCAUGAGCUUUAUCAGACGUAAGACUAUUUGGGUCAGAGGUUUCAUGAGCCUUAUCAGACGUAAGACUAUUUGGGUCAGAGGUUUCAUGAGCCUUACCAGAUGUUUUCUUUUUUGCAAAUAUCUUCAUUUUCUGUAACACCAUGGAAUGCCCGAGCAAAUAUUCCAGAAACUGAAUCAUCUGUCUCUCCAUUACGAAGCCAGC